CUCUGGGCUCUGGGUGCUGCUUUCCCAGUGCUUCCACUGGGUCCCACUGCCUCCUUGCCCACUUGUAGGCAAUCUAGGCACAGUCUUUAAAACACAGGGGCCCCAAAGAGCCAGGUGCCUGGGAAGCAGAGUCCCCAGCAGAGGUGAGGAGGGGAGGGCUCUUCCGCUUGGUGGGCAGGAUCUUCCUGCAAUACCCAUCGAGGGCAACAAUAGGAUCAGUGGCAUCUGCUCAGGGUGGAGACACUGUGCCCUGAAACAGCAGUUGGCGAAUGGCAGAGGGACCAGGAGACCGCAAAGGAACGGAAUCAUGAGUGCCCUGGGCCUCCCUGCUGCCAGGCUGAGCCAGGCCAGGUCCCUGAGAAGCAGCCAUCUGGCUUCAAGGCUCUGCCACAGAACCGAAGCAGCCCUGUUGUGAGGGCACAACUGCCGAGGAAAUGCCCUGGGAGCCCAGGCCCUGCCUCUUAAAGGUCUCUGACAACAGCAAGGGCUACAGACUGAGCCUUCAAUCUAUGUUCUUCUGGUAGACAGUGGAAGGUCCAAACUGUAAGUGUUGUAUAGUUUGGCCUUUCAUCUUUAGGUCUGUAACUUCACCUGUCUCACUUCUGUGUGUAGUGUGGAAAGAGUUCUAAUUUUUUCCAUAUAAAGCAAUUAUCCUAGCACCAUUUACUAUACAGCCCAUCCUCUCUUCACACUGCAUCACAGUGGCAUCUUUGUUAGACAUUGAGUCCCCACAGCACAGGUCUGCUGGGCAGGGGACCCCAUCCUACAGCUCAUGGGCCCAGGUGUGAUAAUAUCAGACCAUCUGCACUGCUACUGCUUUUAUAUGGAGCUGCUACUACAUACAGUGAUACCUCUCGCUGUCAAACUCAAUUCCUUCAAAAUUCAUGUUUCAACAUCGCAAAGUUUGAGAACUGAACGUAUUUUUCCCACAAGAAAUAAUGGAAAACCAAAUAAUUGCUUCUGAG
RNAcentral lists this long non-coding RNA (965 nucleotides) under Heterocephalus glaber (naked mole-rat). RNAcentral describes it as "lncRNA (ENSHGLG00100040751.1)". Lineage: Eukaryota; Metazoa; Chordata; Mammalia; Rodentia; Bathyergidae. The record is from RNAcentral.